UAAUACGUAGGCAGCAAGCGUUGUUCGGAAUUACUGGGCGUAAAGAGUGCGUAGGUGGUUGGCCAAGUUUGGUGUGAAAUCUCCCGGCUUAACUGGGAGGGUGCGCCGAAAACUGGUUGACUAGAGUGUGGGAGAGGGACGUGGAAUUCCUGGUGUAGCGGUGAAAUGCGUAGAUAUCAGGAGGAACACCUGCGGUGUAGACGGCGUCCUGGACCAUGACUGACACUGAGGCACGAAAGCGUGGGGAGCAAACAGGAUUAGAUACCCUGGUAGUCCACGCCCUAAACGAUGCAAACUUGGUGUGCGCCCUUCAUUGGGUGCGUGCCGUAGCUAACGCGUUAAGUUUGCCGCCUGGGGAGUACGGUCGCAAGGCUGAAACUUAAAUGAAUUGACGG
Molecule: ribosomal RNA, 395 nt
Filed under: bacterium enrichment culture
Lineage: Bacteria
Description: bacterial SSU rRNA
Rfam family: Bacterial small subunit ribosomal RNA
Source: RNAcentral